RNAcentral lists this ribosomal RNA (394 nucleotides) under uncultured bacterium. Its description in RNAcentral is "partial 16S ribosomal RNA". It matches the Rfam family "Bacterial small subunit ribosomal RNA", at positions 523 to 918 of the family's 1533-position model. The record is from RNAcentral.
AUACGUAGGGGGCGAGCGUUAUCCGGAAUUAUUGGGCGUAAAGAGUACGUAGGUGGUUGCGUAAGCGCAAGGUGAAAGACCGGGGCUUAACUUCGGUGAGCCUUGUGAACUGCGUGACUUGAGUGCAGGAGGGGAAAGUGGAAUUCCUAGUGUAGCGGUGAAAUGCGUAGAUAUUAGGAGGAACACCAGUGGCGAAGGCGACUUUCUGGACUGUAACUGACACUGAGGUACGAAAGCGUGGGGAGCAAACAGGAUUAGAUACCCUGGUAGUCCACGCCGUAAACGAUGAGCACUAGGUGUUGGCGUAGAAAUACGUCGGUGCCGAAGUUAACGCAUUAAGCAUUCCGCCUAGGGAGUACGGCCGCAAGGUUGAAACUCAAAUGAAUUGACGGGG